AACGAACGCUGGCGGCAUGCCUAACACAUGCAAGUCGAACGAGACCUUCGGGUCUAGUGGCGCACGGGUGCGUAACGCGUGAGAACCUGCCCUUAGGUUCGGAAUAACUCCCCGAAAGGGGUGCUAAUACCGGAUAAUGUCUUCGGACCAAAGAUUUAUCGCCUUUGGAUGGGCCCGCGUUGGAUUAGCUAGUUGGUAGGGUAAAAGCCUACCAAGGCGACGAGCCAUAGCUGGUCUGAGAGGAUGAUCAGCCACACUGGGACUGAGACACGGCCCAGACUCCUACGGGAGGCAGCAGUGGGGAAUAUUGGACAAUGGGCGAAAGCCUGAUCCAGCAAUGCCGCGUGAGUGAUGAAGGCCUUAGGGUUGUAAAGCUCUUUUACCCGGGAUGAUAAUGACAGUACCGGGAGAAUAAGCUCCGGCUAACUCCGUG
RNAcentral lists this ribosomal RNA (433 nucleotides) under uncultured bacterium. RNAcentral describes it as "partial 16S ribosomal RNA". It matches the Rfam family "Bacterial small subunit ribosomal RNA", at positions 29 to 507 of the family's 1533-position model. The record is from RNAcentral.